Molecule: unclassified non-coding RNA, 239 nt
Filed under: Hevea brasiliensis (rubber tree)
Lineage: Eukaryota; Viridiplantae; Streptophyta; Magnoliopsida; Malpighiales; Euphorbiaceae
Source: RNAcentral
UGGGCUCUGGGGAGGGUUGAUGUAUGCAGCCUUGCCCUUCCUUUGUAGAGAGGAUGUUUCCGUGGCUCAAACCAUGACCUCCAGGUCAUAUGCAGAGGAACUUUAUCAUUACACCAAAACCACCCUCUAGAAUGCUCAAACUAGCAGUUAAAAAAAUCAAUACAUCCAUAGGCAAAUUAUAAUGACUGAUUUUGUCAUUUAGAAUGUCUAUUCCAAUAAAAAACUAAAAAAUAAAAAAA